Molecule: ribosomal RNA, 373 nt
Filed under: uncultured organism
Description: partial 16S ribosomal RNA
Rfam family: Bacterial small subunit ribosomal RNA
Source: RNAcentral
GUAGGUGGCAAGCGUUGUCCGGAAUUAUUGGGCGUAAAGCGCGCGCAGGUGGGUUCUUUAAGUCUGAUGUGAAAGCCCCCGGGCUCAACCGGGGAGGGUCAUUGGAAACUGGGGAACUUGAGUGCAGGAGAGGAAAGUGGAAUUCCACGUGUAGCGGUGAAAUGCGUAGAUAUGUGGAGGGACACCAGUGGCGAAGGCGACUUUCUGGCCUGUAACUGACACUGAGGCGCGAAAGCGUGGGGAGCAAACAGGAUUAGAUACCCUGGUAGUCCACGCCGUAAACGAUGAGUGCUAAGUGUUGGGGGGUUUCCGCCCCUCAGUGCUGCAGCUAACGCAUUAAGCACUCCGCCUGGGGAGUACGGUCGCAAGACUG